UAAAAAAACCGAUCUUAAAAGUGGCACUUUAAGAUUGGUUACAAAAUAACCGAUCUUAAAAGAACUUUUAAGAUCGGUUAUUUUG
This 85-nucleotide microRNA precursor is filed under the name Cajanus cajan (pigeon pea). RNAcentral's name for it is "miRNA gene-KK1_049746". Lineage: Eukaryota; Viridiplantae; Streptophyta; Magnoliopsida; Fabales; Fabaceae. The record is from RNAcentral.